RNAcentral lists this ribosomal RNA (241 nucleotides) under uncultured bacterium. RNAcentral describes it as "partial 16S ribosomal RNA". It matches the Rfam family "Bacterial small subunit ribosomal RNA", at positions 536 to 776 of the family's 1533-position model. The record is from RNAcentral.
GAGCGUUAAUCGGAAUUACUGGGCGUAAAGCGCGCGUAGGCGGCUUUGCAAGUCGGGUGUGAAAUCCCCAGGCUUAACCUGGGAACUGCAUUCGAGACUGCAUUGCUAGAGUAUGGGAGAGGGAAGUGGAAUUUCCGGUGUAGCGGUGAAAUGCGUAGAUAUCGGAAGGAACAUCAGUGGCGAAAGCGACUUCCUGGACCAAUACUGACGCUCAUGUGCGAAAGCGUGGGGAGCAAACAGG